GACGAACGCUGGCGGCGUGCUUAACACAUGCAAGUCGAACGGAGUGGCGAACGGGUGAGUAACACGUGGGUGACCCGCCCUGCACUUCGGGAUAAGCCUGGGAAACUGGGUCUAAUACCGGAUAGUGUGGGAUGGGCGCGCGGCCUAUCAGCUUGUUGGUGGGGUAAUGGCCUACCAAGGCGGCGACGGGUAGCCGGCCUGGGAGGGGGGACGGCCACAUUGGGACUGAGACACGGCCCAGAGUCGUACGGGAGGCAGCAGUGGGGAGUAUUGCACAAUCGGCGGAAGCCUGAUGCAGCGACGCCGGGUGGGGGAUGCCGGCCUUCGGGUUGGAAACUCCUUUAACCAUCGACGCGGUAGAUGGAGAAGAAGCACCGGCUAACUACGUGCCAGCAGCCGCGGUAAUUC
RNAcentral lists this ribosomal RNA (408 nucleotides) under uncultured bacterium. RNAcentral's name for it is "partial 16S ribosomal RNA". It matches the Rfam family "Bacterial small subunit ribosomal RNA", at positions 28 to 526 of the family's 1533-position model. The record is from RNAcentral.